GUAACGCGUAUGCAACCUACCUCAUACUGGAGGAUAGCCCCUGGAAACGGGGAUUAAUACUCCAUAGUAUCACGAAUUCGCAUGUUUUUGUGAUUAAAGUUUUUCGGUAUGAGAUGGGCAUGCGUCCCAUUAGCUUGUUGGUGAGGUAACGGCUCACCAAGGCAACGAUGGGUAGGGGGCCUGAGAGGGUGGUCCCCCACACUGGUACUGAGACACGGACCAGACUCCUACGGGAGGCAGCAGUGAGGAAUAUUGGUCAAUGGAGGCAACUCUGAACCAGCCAUGCCGCGUGAAGGAUGACGGCCCUAUGGGUUGUAAACUUCUUUUAUAGAGGAAGAAACUUGUCUACGUGUAGACAACUGACGGUACUCUACGAAUAAGGAUCGGCUAACUC
Molecule: ribosomal RNA, 394 nt
Filed under: Cryomorphaceae bacterium
Lineage: Bacteria; Pseudomonadati; Bacteroidota; Flavobacteriia; Flavobacteriales; Cryomorphaceae
Description: bacterial SSU rRNA
Rfam family: Bacterial small subunit ribosomal RNA
Source: RNAcentral